UACAGAGGUCCCGAGCGUUGUUCGGAUUCACUGGGCGUAAAGGGUGCGUAGGUGGUGAGGUAAGUCGGAUGUGAAAUCUCCGGGCUCAACCCGGAAAUGGCAUUGGAAACUACCUUGCUGGAGGAUUUGAGGGGGGAUUGGAAUACUUGGUGUAGCAGUGAAAUGCGUAGAUAUCAAGUGGAACACCAGUGGCGAAGGCGAAUCCCUGGAAAAUACCUGACACUGAGGCACGAAAGCUAGGGGAGCGAAUGGG
Molecule: ribosomal RNA, 253 nt
Filed under: uncultured bacterium
Lineage: Bacteria
Description: partial 16S ribosomal RNA
Rfam family: Bacterial small subunit ribosomal RNA
Source: RNAcentral